This 1503-nucleotide ribosomal RNA is filed under the name uncultured bacterium. RNAcentral describes it as "16S ribosomal RNA". It matches the Rfam family "Bacterial small subunit ribosomal RNA". The record is from RNAcentral.
GAGAGUUUGAUCCUGGCUCAGAUUGAACGCUAGCGGGAUGCUUUACACAUGCAAGUCGAACGGCAGCACGAAAAAAGCUUGCUUUUUUUGGUGGCGAGUGGCGAACGGGUGAGUAAUAUAUCGGAACGUACCCAGUAGCGGGGGAUAACUACGCGAAAGCGUGGCUAAUACCGCAUACGCCCUACGGGGGAAAGGGGGUGAUCGCAAGACCUCUCACUAUUGGAGCGGCCGAUAUCGGAUUAGCUAGUUGGUGGGGUAAAGGCCCACCAAGGCAACGAUCCGUAGCUGGUUUGAGAGGACGACCAGCCACACUGGGACUGAGACACGGCCCAGACUCCUACGGGAGGCAGCAGUGGGGAAUUUUGGACAAUGGGGGAAACCCUGAUCCAGCCAUCCCGCGUGUGCGAUGAAGGCCUUCGGGUUGUAAAGCACUUUUGGCAGGAAAGAAACGUCAUGGGCUAAUACCCCGUGAAACUGACGGUACCUGCAGAAUAAGCACCGGCUAACUACGUGCCAGCAGCCGCGGUAAUACGUAGGGUGCAAGCGUUAAUCGGAAUUACUGGGCGUAAAGCGUGCGCAGGCGGUUCGGAAAGAAAGAUGUGAAAUCCCAGAGCUUAACUUUGGAACUGCAUUUUUAACUACCGAGCUAGAGUGUGUCAGAGGGAGGUGGAAUUCCGCGUGUAGCAGUGAAAUGCGUAGACAUGCGGAGGAACACCGAUGGCGAAGGCAGCCUCCUGGGAUAACACUGACGCUCAUGCACGAAAGCGUGGGAGCAAACAGGAUUAGAUACCCUGGUAGUCCACGCCCUAAACGAUGUCAACUAGCUGUUGGGGCCUUCGGGCCUUGGUAGCGCAGCUAACGCGUGAAGUUGACCGCCUGGGGAGUACGGUCGCAAGAUUAAAACUCAAAGGAAUUGACGGGGACCCGCACAAGCGGUGGAUGAUGUGGAUUAAUUCGAUGUAACGCGAAAAACCUUACCCACCCUUGACAUGUCUGGAAUUCCGAAGAGAUUUGGAAGUGCUCGCAAGAGAACUGGAACACAGGUGCUGCAUGGCUGUCGUCAGCUCGUGUCGUGAGAUGUUGGGUUAAGUCCCGCAACGAGCGCAACCCUUGUCAUUAGUUGCUACGAAAGGGCACUCUAAUGAGACUGCCGGUGACAAACCGGAGGAAGGUGGGGAUGACGUCAAGUCCUCAUGGCCCUUAUGGGUAGGGCUUCACACGUCAUACAAUGGUCGGGACAGAGGGUCGCCAACCCGCGAGGGGGAGCCAAUCCCAGAAACCCGAUCGUAGUCCGGAUCGCAGUCUGCAACUCGACUGCGUGAAGUCGGAAUCGCUAGUAAUCGCGGAUCAGCAUGUCGCGGUGAAUACGUUCCCGGGUCUUGUACACACCGCCCGUCACACCAUGGGAGUGGGUUUUACCAGAAGUAGUUAGCCUAACCGCAAGGGGGGCGAUUACCACGGUAGGAUUCAUGACUGGGGUGAAGUCGUAACAAGGUAGCCGUA